Molecule: ribosomal RNA, 407 nt
Filed under: uncultured bacterium
Lineage: Bacteria
Description: partial 16S ribosomal RNA
Rfam family: Bacterial small subunit ribosomal RNA
Source: RNAcentral
GACGAACGCUGGCGGCGUGCCUAAUACAUGCAAGUAGGACGCAGUUGCGAACGGGUGAGUAACGCGUAGGUAACUACCUAUUAGAGGGGGAUAACUAUUGGAAACGAUAGCUAAUACCGCAUACUAGUAGAUGGACCUGCGUUGUAUUAGGUAGUAGGUUGGGUAAUGGCCUACCGAUGCAACGAAUCAUAGCCGACCGGAGCGGGUGAUCGGUCAAACUGGGAUGUAGAAAAUGACCAGACGCCUACGGGAGGCAGCAGUAAGGAAGCUUCGGCAAUGGGGGGAACCCUGAACGAGCAACGCCGCGUGAGUGAAGAAGGUUUUCGGAUCGUAAAGCUCUGUUGUUAAGGAAGCGGUACUUAACCAGAAAGGGACGGCUAACUACGUGCCAGCAGCCGCGGUAAUAC